RNAcentral lists this ribosomal RNA (20 nucleotides) under Cladosporium cladosporioides. RNAcentral describes it as "partial 18S ribosomal RNA". The record is from RNAcentral. Lineage: Eukaryota; Fungi; Ascomycota; Dothideomycetes; Cladosporiales; Cladosporiaceae.
GUGACUGCGGAGGGAUCAUU